Molecule: ribosomal RNA, 491 nt
Filed under: uncultured bacterium
Lineage: Bacteria
Description: partial 16S ribosomal RNA
Rfam family: Bacterial small subunit ribosomal RNA
Source: RNAcentral
AGUGAACGCUGGCGGUAGGCCUAACACAUGCAAGUCGAACGGCAGCACAGUAAGAGCUUGCUCUUACGGGUGGCGAGUGGCGGACGGGUGAGGAAUACAUCGGAAUCUACUUUUUCGUGGGGGAUAACGUAGGGAGACUUACGCUAAUACCGCAUACGACCUACGGGUGAAAGCAGGGGAUCUUCGGACCUUGCGCGAUUGAAUGAGCCGAUGUCGGAUUAGCUAGUUGGCGGGGUAAAGGCCCACCAAGGCGACGAUCCGUAGCUGGUCUGAGAGGAUGAUCAGCCACACUGGAACUGAGACACGGUCCAGACUCCUACGGGAGGCAGCAGUGGGGAAUAUUGGACAAUGGGCGAAAGCCUGAUCCAGCCAUACCGCGUGGGUGAAGAAGGCCUGCGGGUUGUAAAGCCCUUUUGUUGGGAAAGAAAAGCAGCAGGUUAAUACCCCGCUGUUCUGACGGUACCCAAAGAAUAAGCACCGGCUAACUUCGU